GAUGAACGCUGGCGGUGUGCCUAAUACAUGCAAGUCGAGCGAACAGACGAGGAGCUUACUCCUCUGACGUUAGCGGCGGACGGGUGAGUAACACGUGGAUAACCUACCUAUAAGACUGGGAUAACUUCGGGAAACCGGAGCUAAUACCGGAUAACAUGUUGAACCGCAUGGUUCAACGGUGAAAGACGGUCUUGCUGUCACUUAUAGAUGGAUCCGCGUCGCAUUAGCUAGUUGGUAAGGUAACGGCUUACCAAGGCAACGAUGCGUAGCCGACCUGAGAGGGUGAUCGGCCACACUGGAACUGAGACACGGUCCAGACUCCUACGGGAGGCAGCAGUAGGGAAUCUUCCGCAAUGGGCGAAAGCCUGACGGAGCAACGCCGCGUGAGUGAAGAAGGUCUUCGGAUCGUAAAACUCUGUUAUUAGGGAAGAACAAAUGUGUAAGUAACUAUGCACGUCUUGACGGUACCUAAUCAGAAAGCCACGGCUAACUACGUG
This 497-nucleotide ribosomal RNA is filed under the name uncultured bacterium. RNAcentral's name for it is "partial 16S ribosomal RNA". It matches the Rfam family "Bacterial small subunit ribosomal RNA", at positions 28 to 507 of the family's 1533-position model. The record is from RNAcentral.